Molecule: ribosomal RNA, 1552 nt
Filed under: Salmonella enterica subsp. enterica serovar Fresno
Lineage: Bacteria; Pseudomonadati; Pseudomonadota; Gammaproteobacteria; Enterobacterales; Enterobacteriaceae
Description: bacterial SSU rRNA
Rfam family: Bacterial small subunit ribosomal RNA
Source: RNAcentral
AAAUUGAAGAGUUUGAUCAUGGCUCAGAUUGAACGCUGGCGGCAGGCCUAACACAUGCAAGUCGAACGGUAGCACAGAGAGCUUGCUCUCGGGUGACGAGUGGCGGACGGGUGAGUAAUGUCUGGGAAACUGCCUGAUGGAGGGGGAUAACUACUGGAAACGGUGGCUAAUACCGCAUAACGUCGCAAGACCAAAGAGGGGGACCUUCGGGCCUCUUGCCAUCAGAUGUGCCCAGAUGGGAUUAGCUUGUUGGUGAGGUAACGGCUCACCAAGGCGACGAUCCCUAGCUGGUCUGAGAGGAUGACCAGCCACACUGGAACUGAGACACGGUCCAGACUCCUACGGGAGGCAGCAGUGGGGAAUAUUGCACAAUGGGCGCAAGCCUGAUGCAGCCAUGCCGCGUGUAUGAAGAAGGCCUUCGGGUUGUAAAGUACUUUCAGCGGGGAGGAAGGUGUUGUGGUUAAUAACCGCAGCAAUUGACGUUACCCGCAGAAGAAGCACCGGCUAACUCCGUGCCAGCAGCCGCGGUAAUACGGAGGGUGCAAGCGUUAAUCGGAAUUACUGGGCGUAAAGCGCACGCAGGCGGUCUGUCAAGUCGGAUGUGAAAUCCCCGGGCUCAACCUGGGAACUGCAUUCGAAACUGGCAGGCUUGAGUCUUGUAGAGGGGGGUAGAAUUCCAGGUGUAGCGGUGAAAUGCGUAGAGAUCUGGAGGAAUACCGGUGGCGAAGGCGGCCCCCUGGACAAAGACUGACGCUCAGGUGCGAAAGCGUGGGGAGCAAACAGGAUUAGAUACCCUGGUAGUCCACGCCGUAAACGAUGUCUACUUGGAGGUUGUGCCCUUGAGGCGUGGCUUCCGGAGCUAACGCGUUAAGUAGACCGCCUGGGGAGUACGGCCGCAAGGUUAAAACUCAAAUGAAUUGACGGGGGCCCGCACAAGCGGUGGAGCAUGUGGUUUAAUUCGAUGCAACGCGAAGAACCUUACCUGGUCUUGACAUCCACGGAAGUUUUCAGAGAUGAGAAUGUGCCUUCGGGAACCGUGAGACAGGUGCUGCAUGGCUGUCGUCAGCUCGUGUUGUGAAAUGUUGGGUUAAGUCCCGCAACGAGCGCAACCCUUAUCCUUUGUUGCCAGCGGUUAGGCCGGGAACUCAAAGGAGACUGCCAGUGAUAAACUGGAGGAAGGUGGGGAUGACGUCAAGUCAUCAUGGCCCUUACGACCAGGGCUACACACGUGCUACAAUGGCGCAUACAAAGAGAAGCGACCUCGCGAGAGCAAGCGGACCUCAUAAAGUGCGUCGUAGUCCGGAUUGGAGUCUGCAACUCGACUCCAUGAAGUCGGAAUCGCUAGUAAUCGUGGAUCAGAAUGCCACGGUGAAUACGUUCCCGGGCCUUGUACACACCGCCCGUCACACCAUGGGAGUGGGUUGCAAAAGAAGUAGGUAGCUUAACCUUCGGGAGGGCGCUUACCACUUUGUGAUUCAUGACUGGGGUGAAGUCGUAACAAGGUAACCGUAGGGGAACCUGCGGUUGGAUCACCUCCUUACCUGAAAGAAGC